RNAcentral lists this transfer RNA (72 nucleotides) under archaeon. RNAcentral describes it as "tRNA-Arg". It matches the Rfam family "tRNA". From Rfam's summary of the family: Transfer RNA (tRNA) molecules are approximately 80 nucleotides in length. Their secondary structure includes four short double-helical elements and three loops (D, anti-codon, and T loops). The record is from RNAcentral. RNAcentral also lists the same sequence under 1 other name.
GGGCCUAUAGUCUAGUGGAUAGGAUGACAGCCUCCUAAGCUGUGGACCCGGGUUCGACUCCCGGUGGGCCCG